AAGUGGAAAGCAACAAGUGCUCCUUAAUGUCUAUUAUCAAAGUCAUGGCUAAAUUUCUUCAGUGUUUUUGGGGAAGUUCAGCAGUUCAACCAAGCUCUGGAAAGCAAAAGGUAGUGCUGAAGGUGGAAAUGGAGGAUCCAAAGAAGAGAUCCAAAGUUAUGAAGAACAUUGCUGGCUGGCUUGGUGUUUACUCAGUAGCAUUAGAAGGGAAUGAAAAUAAUAAAAUAGCUGCUAUUGGUGAGGGAAUUGAUCCAGUGAGUCUUGUUCACAAACUUAGGGAUGAGAUGGGUGAUGUGCAGUUGAUUUCUGUUACUCCUGUUGAAGAAAAGAAGAA
Dioscorea cayenensis subsp. rotundata (Guinea yam) is the source of this 334-nucleotide long non-coding RNA. RefSeq lists it as uncharacterized. Lineage: Eukaryota; Viridiplantae; Streptophyta; Magnoliopsida; Dioscoreales; Dioscoreaceae. The record is from RefSeq and is a predicted model, not a curated record. The transcript is spliced from 3 exons.